GAAAUGCGAUAAGUAAUGUGAAUUGCAGAAUUCAGUGAAUCAUCGAAUCUUUGAACGCACAUCGCGCCCUUUGGCAUUCCGAGGGGCAUGCCUGUUCGAGCGUCAUUACACCACUCAAGCCUGGCUUGGUAUUGGGCGAUGCGGCACCCGCACGCCUCGAUUUCGCCGGCUGGACGACCCGCAUCUCAGCGUUGUGAAUCAAUCUCGCUGCGGAGGGGGGCGACCCGGCCGUUAAAACCACACACAAGGUUGACCUCGGAUCAGGUAGGGAUACCCGCUGAACUUAA
Molecule: unclassified non-coding RNA, 287 nt
Filed under: uncultured fungus
Lineage: Eukaryota; Fungi
Description: sequence contains ITS1
Rfam family: 5.8S ribosomal RNA (bases 1-105)
Source: RNAcentral